Molecule: ribosomal RNA, 449 nt
Filed under: uncultured bacterium
Lineage: Bacteria
Description: partial 16S ribosomal RNA
Rfam family: Bacterial small subunit ribosomal RNA
Source: RNAcentral
AACGAACGCUGGCGGCAGGCUUAACACAUGCAAGUCGAACGCAUCCUUCGGGGUGAGUGGCAGACGGGUGAGUAACGCGUGGGAAUCUACCCAUCUCUGCGGAAUAGCUCCGGGAAACUGGAAUUAAUACCGCAUACGCCCUACGGGGGAAAGAUUUAUCGGGGAUGGAUGAGCCCGCGUUGGAUUAGCUAGUUGGUGGGGUAAAGGCCUACCAAGGCGACGAUCCAUAGCUGGUCUGAGAGGAUGAUCAGCCACAUUGGGACUGAGACACGGCCCAAACUCCUACGGGAGGCAGCAGUGGGGAAUAUUGGACAAUGGGCGCAAGCCUGAUCCAGCCAUGCCGCGUGAGUGAUGAAGGCCUUAGGGUUGUAAAGCUCUUUCACCGAUGAAGAUAAUGACGGUAGUCGGAGGAGAAGCCCCGGCUAACUUCGUGCCAGCAGCCGCGGUAA